GUGCUUAAUUCAGCAGCACAUAUAUUAAAAUUAAAAUAACACAAAGAAGAUUAUCAUGGCCCCUGUGCUUGGCUGUUGUGCAAAAUCUUGAAACAUCCCAUACUUUU
Molecule: small nuclear RNA, 107 nt
Organism: Sorex fumeus (smoky shrew)
Lineage: Eukaryota; Metazoa; Chordata; Mammalia; Eulipotyphla; Soricidae
Source: RefSeq, a predicted model, not a curated record